Long non-coding RNA from Lutra lutra (Eurasian river otter), 1235 nucleotides. RefSeq lists it as uncharacterized. The record is from RefSeq and is a predicted model, not a curated record. NCBI's taxonomy places the organism in Eukaryota, Metazoa, Chordata, Mammalia, Carnivora, Mustelidae. The transcript is spliced from 3 exons.
CACUGCCACACUGAACAGAGCGAUCCCCUCGGCUCUCGGCACAGUCCGCCCAUUCCCCGCUUGGACCAGGGAUCUAGGCUGGGCACCCCACCCCCAACCCCGACCCGGCCGGGUCGAGCGCGCUGCUGUUUCCUCCAGCCUGCGGAGGCCCUCUGUGCGCCCGGACCGCGCUCCCUCCCUAGCCCCUAGGAUGUCAAAGACAAAAUCCUGGCUUUAGCCUGGGGACUAUACGGGUGCAGGUUUGAGGAGUGGACUGCGACUCUGCUUGGUUCACCCCUUUUCUACUCCACAUCCUCUUCUCCCUCAAGAAUUUUCGCGCGUCCUCUGACCCCGUAAACUUCGCGGCGAGCUUGCCUCGGUCUCCGACCGCGGGGCCGCGGGCUGAUGCUAGAUGGGAAGACUGAGAGGCCAAAAGGAGAUGAAACCUUCUCGGUCGUGGUGGCGAGACUGCGACUUUUUCAAACCAAAGGCUUUGCCGAUUUCCCAUAAAAUGCCCACCCUUCCUACUGGUGUCCAGCACUGGGAGGAGCCCCCCAGCAAUGCGAUCUGGUCCCCAGCACCGACACAAUCUGGCACACUCCCGGGACUCAGGAGCUACUUUGCUGGAAAAAGGAAAAGUGAAAAUCCCGUAUCAGAUUAGCCAGAGGGUCAAGUAGAGGUCUUCAGAGCCUAGGCAAGAUGGGAUAGGUGGACGGGGUGGCUUCGAUAUCCUACAGAAACCCUCACCCAACACCUUCUGAUUGUAUGACCUUGGCAAGUCUUCUCACCUCUGUGCCUGUUUCCUUUCUGCAUAAAGGAAUCUGAGAAGCCCCAGAGAUAGCAUCUGAGAAAGGCUUUGUAAAACAACAACAAAACAAAAACAAAAACCUGAGGGGCAUGCCCCGGUAACAAGAAAUGAAGAAAUUCAAAGAGGAAGAUGACAGAGAUCUGCUCUCACAAAGCCACUAGCUCUUCUAAUUCAAGGGAGAAGUUGCGCCUUAGCCCCUGAUAAGGUACAGCUAGACUGUGUGAUACUAGCCCAGGGAGAGAGGGCUGGGCUAGAGGCUGGUGGACCAGAACAAGGGUUGCCAAAAUAGACUCACACAUGUAUGGAAACCUGGUAUGCGGCAAGAGUGGUGCUACACGUCACUGGGAAAAGGGUGGGCUUUUCUAUAAAGGAUGUUUUUUAGAGUAACUGGAUAUCCACAUUGCGGAAAAAAGAUACGAAAUCCCUACCUCACACCUUCCAUUAAAAA